UACCCCUGGCAAUGGGCAAAGAGAUACCUUGUUGGUGGUGGUACUCUUGUAUCAGUCAGGAACAGAGCAGAUAGCAGUCCUCUGUUCAUCCUAACUUGAUUUGGCCUUGAUGGCCAAAGGUGUCUUAUGCCUAGGACUCAAUC
This is a small nucleolar RNA of Mastomys coucha (southern multimammate mouse), 143 nucleotides long. RefSeq annotates it as small nucleolar RNA SNORA48. The record is from RefSeq and is a predicted model, not a curated record. The transcript has a single exon. Lineage: Eukaryota; Metazoa; Chordata; Mammalia; Rodentia; Muridae.